This 170-nucleotide small RNA is filed under the name Lepisosteus oculatus (spotted gar). RNAcentral's name for it is "TUC338 (ENSLOCG00000019852.1)". The record is from RNAcentral. Lineage: Eukaryota; Metazoa; Chordata; Actinopteri; Semionotiformes; Lepisosteidae.
UUUUAAGCAACGAAGAACCUUCAUCCAAGGAGCAGGUGCAGCACCAGCAGCUGGCUGAGCCGUGCUUUCUCCCAACAAGCUCCCUGCCAAUGUGCCUCAGCCCUGCCCAGUAGGAACCACCAUCUAAGGGGGUGAGGAGAGUAAGCAGGCCACUGUAAUCCCUGGCAUCU